AGCGAGGCUUGCCCGCGAAGGCGUCGUAUCAGUCGACAUCUUUGUUAACUGACACGAAGCCUUCGCGGGCAAGCCUCGCU
RNAcentral lists this unclassified non-coding RNA (80 nucleotides) under Pseudomonas prosekii. The record is from RNAcentral. Lineage: Bacteria; Pseudomonadati; Pseudomonadota; Gammaproteobacteria; Pseudomonadales; Pseudomonadaceae.